AGAAAGAGAUGAGAUGCUGGUGAGAGAGAACGAGGCAGGAAAAGGAGAGAAGGAAUACUAAAUAUAUUUUUCCAUUUAUGUGAUGAAUGUGUUCACAGUACACAAACCAUAGUGUGUGUGGUAGUAAAGAGGAGCAGCACUAGAGGCAUUUUCCAUAGACUGAAGGCAAGAAGGUGGAGGAGGGGUGCUUUUAAGUAAAGACAGCUAAGGUGAAUCCUGAACCGCCAGAAGUAGACAACCAAGUGAAAGAAGGGGAAAGCGUUCCAGACAGAGGUGGGGGAGAAUCUGCAAAGGCACUGAGACCCAAGAAGUCACUGGUUCCUCGGGAGUACAUGUGUUCAAUAAGACUGAAAUCUAUGGUAUAUGGUGAAGGAACUGGGAAAAAACGUGGCCCUGGAGAUAUAAAGAGCUAUGACACGUAAAGAGCUUGAAAGUCUAAACUCCCAUCCUUAAAGCAAGAAAAAGCUGAACAAACUGAAAAGAAAUAAUUUUCUUGGACUCACCAGAGAAUUGUCACUGGGCAAAACCUACUCCAAAAUCUGGGUAAUAGGCAAAUACAGAGAAUCACGGCUGAGAUCAGUUUAGCUGGAGUAGAAGACACUGGAGCCACAAACUGGAUGGGCCCUAAAUCCAAUGACCAGUGCCCCUACGAGGAGAGGGAGAUUUGAAGACACAAAAGAAACAGGGAAGA
Molecule: long non-coding RNA, 691 nt
Filed under: Equus caballus (horse)
Lineage: Eukaryota; Metazoa; Chordata; Mammalia; Perissodactyla; Equidae
Description: lncRNA (ENSECAG00000053973.1)
Source: RNAcentral